Molecule: long non-coding RNA, 265 nt
Filed under: Lepisosteus oculatus (spotted gar)
Lineage: Eukaryota; Metazoa; Chordata; Actinopteri; Semionotiformes; Lepisosteidae
Description: lncRNA (ENSLOCG00000022906.1)
Source: RNAcentral
GCGGACUCGAGUCGGGGGAUAUUACUAACGGGAAGACGAAGGGUAACGUGGCUGAUUAGAGGAGCACCUCCCGAAGUGCUUGCAGUCUUGCCGUAAACCCCACCUUUAUAGAGUUUGAUUCUGGUGCCAGUCUAACUGCUAGGAACACGUUCAAUAGCCCUGAGCCGGAGUUCAUGUUUAUCACUGUAGGGGCUACAAUGUCAAAGCCGAAGCCAGCUCUAACACUCUGAGAGGCAACGCGCUAUCAGAUGAAAUCGCCCGUCCU